This 76-nucleotide transfer RNA is filed under the name Paludibacter sp. 47-17. RNAcentral's name for it is "tRNA-Gly". It matches the Rfam family "tRNA". Rfam says of the family: Transfer RNA (tRNA) molecules are approximately 80 nucleotides in length. Their secondary structure includes four short double-helical elements and three loops (D, anti-codon, and T loops). Further hydrogen bonds mediate the characteristic L-shaped molecular structure. tRNAs have two regions of fundamental functional importance: the anti-codon, which is responsible for specific mRNA codon recognition, and the 3' end, to which the tRNAs corresponding amino acid is attached (by aminoacyl-tRNA synthetases). tRNAs cope with the degeneracy of the genetic code in two manners: having more than one tRNA (with a specific anti-codon) for a particular amino acid; and 'wobble' base-pairing, i.e. permitting non-standard base-pairing at the 3rd anti-codon position. RNAcentral also lists the same sequence under 1 other name. Lineage: Bacteria; Pseudomonadati; Bacteroidota; Bacteroidia; Bacteroidales; Paludibacteraceae. The record is from RNAcentral.
GCGGCAAUAGCUCAGUCGGUAGAGCGUUGGCUUCCCAAGCCGAAGGUCGCGGGUUCGAGCCCCGUUUGCCGCUCCA